This 540-nucleotide ribosomal RNA is filed under the name Fictibacillus barbaricus. RNAcentral's name for it is "bacterial SSU rRNA". It matches the Rfam family "Bacterial small subunit ribosomal RNA", at positions 60 to 584 of the family's 1533-position model. The record is from RNAcentral. Lineage: Bacteria; Bacillati; Bacillota; Bacilli; Caryophanales; Fictibacillaceae.
AGUCGAGCGAAUGAUGAGGAGCUUGCUCCUCUGAUUUAGCGGCGGACGGGUGAGUAACACGUGGGUAAUCUGCCUGUAAGACGGGGAUAACUCCGGGAAACCGGGGCUAAUACCGGAUAAUAAGAAGAAACGCAUGUUUCUUCUUUGAAAGUCGGUUUCGGCUGACACUUACAGAUGAGCCCGCGGCGCAUUAGCUAGUUGGUGAGGUAACGGCUCACCAAGGCGACGAUGCGUAGCCGACCUGAGAGGGUGAUCGGCCACACUGGGACUGAGACACGGCCCAGACUCCUACGGGAGGCAGCAGUAGGGAAUCUUCGGCAAUGGGCGAAAGCCUGACCGAGCAACGCCGCGUGAGCGAUGAAGGCCUUCGGGUCGUAAAGCUCUGUUGUUAGAGAAGAACAAGUACGAGAGUAACUGCUCGUACCUUGACGGUACCUAACCAGAAAGCCACGGCUAACUACGUGCCAGCAGCCGCGGUAAUACGUAGUGGCAAGCGUUAUCCGGAAUUAUUGGGCGUAAAGCGCGCGCAGGCGGUCUCUU